Molecule: long non-coding RNA, 2527 nt
Organism: Anolis carolinensis (green anole)
Lineage: Eukaryota; Metazoa; Chordata; Lepidosauria; Squamata; Anolidae
Source: Ensembl
GUAGAGUCUCACUUAUCCAACAUAAACGGGCUGGUAGAAUGUUGGAUAAGCGAAUAUGUUGGAUAAUAAGGAGGCAUUAAGGAAAAGCCUAUUAAACAUCAAAUUAGGUUAUGCUUGUUCCUUUUGUUUUUUUUCGUGUCAGGAGCAACCGGAGUUGCUUCUGGAGUGAGAGAAUUGGCCGUCUGCAAGGAUGUUGCCCAGGGGACGCCCGGAUGUUUUUGAUGUUUUUACCAUCCUUGUGGGAGGCUUCUCUCGUGUCCCCGCAUGGAGCUGGAGCUGAUAGAGGGAGCACAUCCACACUCUCCCCAGGUGGGAUUCGAACCUGGCAGCUUUCAGGUCAGCAACCCAACCUUCAAGUCACUUAGUCCACUACGCCAUCUGGGGGCUCUUCUUGUUCCUAGAAACGACCAUUACAACUACUUGAUGGCAUCUGGCUCCUUAACUGGAGCUAAUAGAGUCCCUUCUGCUCUAACAGGGAAUUUUAUGACUGCAAAGAACCCCUGAUACUCAGAAGAUAUUCCCCAUAGAUUAGGUGAUACACAUCAGUGAGGUCUUUCUGUUUAGUCUAUUUUUCUUGGCCAUCUUAUCUCAACACAUUUUCCCAAUCCUUCAAAGGGGAAAUCCAUCAAGUUGGAAUGAGCAAAUGAAGGGCAGAGGUUUAAUAACCCUCCCCUGGCUCCUUCCUAGUUAUGGCCUUAUUGGUUUAAAAAGGACUGAUAGGGCAUUUCAUCUGUAAUAUGCAACACUUACUCCCCUUUGUUACUCUUGACAUCUGUUGUGUACCACUUUACAGUAGUGGCUGUCAACAAUUGUCAUUUUAAAGGGAGGCAUAUAUGUACAGAUAAAUUCAUAUAAAACUGUAUGCACAUUAUUCAUCACAGUUGAGCUAUGUUGCCGUUAUUGUUGAAGUAUAUGCAUGUACAUUUGGGUUUCUGAGAAACUAUUUACAUAAACAUAUUCAGAGUGAUAUAUGGCUGCUGUGCAACACAUUUUUACCAUCAAAAGGGAAACAUUUUCUUCCUUUUUUGUUUACUGGUUUCUCAUCUUUCUCUUACUACCUCAUUAAGGUUAAUGGAAAUACAUCAAUUUCCAAUGUGCUCAUACAACUUUGAAGUACCUUGGAAGCAAGCAAUCAUAAGCAUAAAUAUAUGUUUGCAGGAAUAGAAACAAAAUAGUUUUUAGUGGUUGUUUUUCUUCAGUGGACAAUAUGUAUGUGUAUGUAUUUGUGUCCUUUUGAUUUCUGAAUGGGGCGGGAAUGAAACUUUUCUCAAUGAUUGUGUGAUGUAAACAUAUAUGUAACAUACUUCUCAGAAAACACAGAAGCAACUGUGUUUGUAAAGGGCUGUAAAGCUGAGAUCCUAAAGAUUUAGGAGCUGUUGAUGUAAUUAACUGUGAUGAACCCUAAAACAAUCUGGAUUUGGUCUGGAAAAUAUCGGCUCAUCUUCUUCAUGGAUGAGGCAUGAGAGAAAAUGCAAUCCGUUUUUACUAGGAUUCUGGAAUAUCAAAUCCUCUAAGAUUACUCUCAUCGAAAAGUAUGUGAGAGAUAUUUGACAAUGAACAUUAUCAUGAAGUUUUUUUGUAAUAGCAACACUAGAAUUAAUAGUAGCUGCUUGAAAACAUUGCACUACUGAAUUGUAUGGGAUUCACUUUAGAACUUCCAAUUAGCUUGUGAUCUGUACUUACCUAUCAGAGCAAGACAGUUGACAUUUUGACCAUAUUGGCUGGAGAUGCGGAGUUUUUAUCAACAUCUCUAGAGGAUACCAGAUUAGGGAAAUGUAUAGAAUGUUUUGAAUAGAAUGUUUUUUUCUAAUGAAAUGAUCUACGAGGCAGAAAUAAAUAUUUUCCACAUCAAACUAAUGAAUUGACUAAACAUUUUUGAGAUAUAUUUCUACAUCAAAUCUAUUACCUCCUAACAAGAAAGGAUAUCUUCAACAGCUUUAGGAAAAAAAAACAACAACCUCCAAGAUGGAUGCUAGUAGCACUUGUCAAGGUACAAAUUUUGGUGAUUUGGAAGGUUUCCUGGUCUUGUGGGGAAUAAUGUUCUAUUUAAAGCUUUAUUUCAUUCAAUGUUUUGAUUCCUUCCCAUGGAAAAUUUCACCAUUUUAAAGAGCUUCAAUUGCAGAUUUAGUUUCAGACAUAAACUGGGAUACCAAUAUUUUUUACCGUUGAUCAUCUAAAAAUGGGUGUUCCAUUUUGUCCCCAACAAUUGAGAUUGCUUUCUUAGAUUAAAGUUUCAUUCUAGAACAAAGAGCUGAGCAGAAUUGCUUAAACUGAUCAUUAAUUGCUUUCUGAAAAACAGAAGCUAUCACAGAAUGUCUUUAAUUACAGCAAUACAACUACAUCUGUGUAUCUUUUGAAGACACAAAGCUAACAUUUUUAAAUUCUUUUUAUUCCAUUUUCAAUAAUUCUAUCUCAUACAUGUCAAGGCAAAUUUGUUGGUUUCAUGUCUGUCUUUGAUACAUUUAACAUAAUUCUCAGAGGUAAUGUAUGUUUCUCAGAAGAAAUAAUAUACUGAUUUCUGCUUUUU